Rhincodon typus (whale shark) is the source of this 1270-nucleotide long non-coding RNA. RefSeq lists it as uncharacterized. The record is from RefSeq and is a predicted model, not a curated record. The transcript is spliced from 2 exons. Lineage: Eukaryota; Metazoa; Chordata; Chondrichthyes; Orectolobiformes; Rhincodontidae.
UGGUGGAGGUGGUUUACUGACAUCCCAUUGUAUUUGACAGCCUGCCGCUGACAGGAAACACAUUGUGUACUCAGUGAUAGUGCAGACCAGCUCAGAGCUCAGCUUCAAUUAUCAGUAUCAGGUUUCAAUUUUUAAACCCAUCUGGAAUUCCAGCCUACACCCAUCCCCAAGAAAUUGCGUAAAGAUCUUUUCUGGCUCAUUCUGAUUUCAAGGUAUCAAAGGGAAGAGAAAGGAGAUGCAUUUGUCAAGUGCCUGGCUUUCACAACCUCUGAGUGCUCUGCAGCCAAUGCAAUGCAUGGAAGUACAGUCCCUGAUCUAACGUGGGGAAACACAAUGGAAAUUUACAAACAGCAAGAGCCCACAAGCAUCAAAUUGAUGAAUAUUUAUUGGAGGAUGAAUGCUGGCAAUGGGAAAAAUGUCUGCCUUAUGAUCCUCAGGCUCAGAUGUUUACAACAUAGAAGGAGGCCACUUGGCCCAUCACAUCCAAACUGGUCAAAAAAGAUCUGACUACAGCAAUCCCAUUUUCCAGCUUUUGGCCCAUGGCCCUAAAGGCUAUGGCAUCGGAAGUAAAUAAUUAAAUACUGCUUAAAUGUUCUGAGAGUUUCUGACCCAAGCUUCACUGCUCCAAGGAAACCAACCACAGCUUGUCACUUCCAUCUGCUUUUCUCCCCUUUUGUUUAAUGUCUUUUACUUUGGCGAGGUAUUGGUGAUGGACCCUGCCCGAGCAUGCUCUGGGAUCUGGUGAAGGAUCCGGCGAUCGGAGGCUAUGAGUGGAUCCUGCCUGGCCAUGUUGUGGGAUCUGGUGACUGGAGGCUGUGAGCGGAUCCUGCCUGGCCAUGUUGUGGGAUCCGGUUGCAGCACCUGUAGUUAUAGAAUCAGAGGCAGCGGCAACAGCAGGAGAUCAGAGGCGGUCACAGCAGCAAGCACUCAGUUUCUCCCGAGACUGCAACCUGUGGCCUGGCUUGGGUGCCUGCACGGAGCAAAUGAAAACCAUCUGGAGAAGAGAAAUUGAAGAACAACAAGUCCAGGAAAGCAAAAUGGAUCAUCUCAGCAAAGCAUGUGAACAGGAUCCAUGGACCUGCCUUCCCAGUUUCUACUCCCACCAUGAACUCCAAUAUUUUUGUGUCUGUCCCUGUCUGUCAUAUGAGUGUGUAGGAGAGUUUCAUAAAGGGGGUUAGAGUUUUAACUAGUAGAGUUAUAAGUCAAAAAUUUAUAAUUGCUUACCUAUAGCUAGGAUCCAUUUGUAAUAAAUAGCAAUUCUGGUUAAGCA